CAAUCAGACUUCCGGGGGAUACUGCUGGCUAGGGACCGGGAGAGGCCGGGGGAAUUCCCGGGGUAGGGGUGAAAUCCUGUAAUUCCCGGGAGGACCACCUGUGGCGAAGGCGCCCGGCUGGAACGGGUCCGACGGUGAGGGACGAAGGCCAGGGGAGCGAACCGGAUUAGAUACCUGGGUAGUCCUGGCUGUAANCGAUGCGGGCUAGGUGUCACCAGAGCCACGAGCUCCGGUGGUGCCGGAGGGAAGCCGUUAAGCCCGCCGCCUGGGAAGUACGGCCGCAAGGCUGAAACUUAAAGGAAUUGGCGGGGGAGCACUACAACGGGUGGAGCCUGCGGUUCAAUUGGAUUCAACGCCGGGAAGCUUACCGGGNNNGGCAGCUGGAUGAAGGUCGGGCUGAAGACCCUAANCAGGCUAGCUGAGAGGUGGUGCAUGGCCGCCGUCAGUUCGUACUGUGAAGCAUCCUGUUAAGUCAGGCAANNNGCGAGACCCGCGCCCUCAGUUGCCAGCGGAUCCCUUCGGGGAUGCNGGGCACACUGAGGGGACUGCCGGCGCUAAGCCGGAGGAAGNUGCGGGCAACGGCAGGUCCGUAUGCCCCGAAUCCCCCGGGCUACACGCGGGCUACAAUGGCCGGGACAAUGGGUACCGACUCCGAAAGGGGUAGGUAAUCCCCUAAACCCGGUCUAACCUGGGAUCGAGGGCUGCAACUCGCCCUCGUGAACCUGGAAUCCGUAGUAAUNNNCGCCUCAAAAUGGNNNGGUGAAUAC
This 767-nucleotide ribosomal RNA is filed under the name uncultured archaeon. RNAcentral describes it as "partial 16S ribosomal RNA". It matches the Rfam family "Archaeal small subunit ribosomal RNA", at positions 563 to 1325 of the family's 1478-position model. The record is from RNAcentral.